This 552-nucleotide long non-coding RNA is filed under the name Lynx pardinus (Iberian lynx). The record is from RNAcentral. Lineage: Eukaryota; Metazoa; Chordata; Mammalia; Carnivora; Felidae.
GGGAAGAGGCUUCCUUCCCGGUGUGCACUUCCCCCCGCAGGGUUUGCCCGACUCGGGUGGUCGAGAAGACGUGAGAUUGGCGGCCAUUUUAGACGCAGUAACCGAGGUUAGGGCUCAAGAGCUACUGCGAAAGGAGGGAGGGUGAUGUGGUUGGAGCGCAAGGACCUAGGCCCUCACGAGCUUUUCCGGGGUGGUGGCCUCUUAUGUUCGUUGAUUUACAUUAAUUUCUUUUCUCAGAUAUGCAGUCUGUUUUCUAUCUUGGUAUCCAGAGAAGGGGAGAUGGAGGGAGAGGGAGACCUCCCGCUCCAGCCCAGGUUGGGGAUAAUUCACUCCCAUAAGGGGACGAGGGUGGGUGGGCCCAGCGAUGGCUUGAGAGAUCUUGGCCUCAUUGUAAUUCUGGCUCUUUAUUCCUAAGUAGUCUAACCUUAUUCAGGUAACUAGAGUGUGGGGAAGACUUGGUGGGUGGGUUGGGGGAGGGGGCGAGACUGAGCUCCCAAAAUGGCUCCUGCCCCUCCUCGGAGGCGGACGGCCCAGGGGGGAGGGGAGGAGGGG